GUGCUCACUUUGGCAGCACAUUUACUAAAUGGAAUGAUACACAGAGGAUUAGUAUGAUACCUUUGCAAAGAUGACACAUAAAUUCAACACAUAUUAUUUUUUUUA
Ailuropoda melanoleuca (giant panda) is the source of this 105-nucleotide small nuclear RNA. Lineage: Eukaryota; Metazoa; Chordata; Mammalia; Carnivora; Ursidae. The record is from Ensembl.